RNAcentral lists this ribosomal RNA (228 nucleotides) under uncultured bacterium. RNAcentral describes it as "partial 16S ribosomal RNA". It matches the Rfam family "Bacterial small subunit ribosomal RNA", at positions 15 to 231 of the family's 1533-position model. The record is from RNAcentral.
GAUCCUGGCUCAGGAUGAACGCUAGCUACAGGCUUAACACAUGCAAGUCGAGGGGCGAGCAUGGUCUUAGCUUGCUAAGGCCGAUGGCGACCGGCGCACGGGUGAGUAACACGUAUCCAACCUGCCGUCUACGUCUUGGACAGCCUUCUGAAAGGAAGAUUAAUACAAGAUGGCAUCAUGAGUCCGCAUAGUUCACAUGAUUAAAGGUAUUCCGGUAGACGAUGGGGA